GGCAACGGAUGGUUCGUUGCC
RNAcentral lists this unclassified non-coding RNA (21 nucleotides) under synthetic construct. The record is from RNAcentral.